Perkinsus olseni is the source of this 74-nucleotide non-coding RNA. The record is from the annotation of a GenBank genome assembly. NCBI's taxonomy places the organism in Eukaryota, Perkinsozoa, Perkinsida, Perkinsidae.
GCUCUGGUGGCUCAACCGGAUAGAGCGUUGGACUUCUGAUCCCAAGGCUGCAGGUUCAGAUCCCGUUCAGAGCA